This 305-nucleotide ribosomal RNA is filed under the name uncultured bacterium. RNAcentral describes it as "bacterial SSU rRNA". It matches the Rfam family "Bacterial small subunit ribosomal RNA", at positions 334 to 656 of the family's 1533-position model. The record is from RNAcentral.
UGUGCCUACGGGAGGCAGCAGUGGGGGAUAUUGCACAAUGGGGGAAACCCUGAUGCAGCGACGCCGCGUGGGGGAAGAAGCGCCUCGGCGCGUAAAGCCCUGUCAGCAGGGAAGAAAAUGACGGUACCUGAAGAAGAAGCCCCGGCUAACUACGUGCCAGCAGCCGCGGUAAUACGUAGGGGGCAAGCGUUAUCCGGAUUUACUGGGUGUAAAGGGGGCGCAGACGGCGAUGCAAGCCAGGAGUGAAAGCCCGGGGCGCAACCCCGGGACGGCUCUUGGAACUGCGUGGCUAGAGUGCAGGAGGG